This 311-nucleotide ribosomal RNA is filed under the name uncultured eukaryote. RNAcentral describes it as "partial large subunit ribosomal RNA". It matches the Rfam family "Eukaryotic large subunit ribosomal RNA", at positions 40 to 350 of the family's 3401-position model. The record is from RNAcentral.
AUAUCAGUAAGCGGAGGAGAAGAAAUUAACAAAGAUUGCCCCAGUAGCGGCGAGCGAAGAGGCAUAAGCUCAAGUUGAAAAUCUGGAAUGGCAACAUUCCCGAAUUGUAAUCUCAAGAGCUAUCCAGAACUGGAAGGUGACGCAUAAGUUCCUGGAAAGGGACGUCAUAGAGGGUGAUAACCCCGUGCUCGGCGUUACCCGAAGGGCAUGGAUGGCAGCCAAGAGUCGGGUUGUUUGGGACUGCAGCCCAAAAUGGGAGGUAAACUUCUCCUAAGGCUAAAUAUUGGUGGGAGACCGAUAGCGCACAAGUA